UAUAUAUAUAUAUAUAUAUAUAUAUAUAUA
This 30-nucleotide unclassified non-coding RNA is filed under the name Mus musculus (house mouse). RNAcentral describes it as "piRNA piR-mmu-23115056". Lineage: Eukaryota; Metazoa; Chordata; Mammalia; Rodentia; Muridae. The record is from RNAcentral. RNAcentral also lists the same sequence under 1 other name.